AUCGGUUACUGCUUAGAGGAUGACAUCCAACUUCUGGUUUAUGAGUUUGUGCCCAAUGGCAACUUGGAAAAUCAUAUAUUUGGAAGUAAGUAAUUGAUAUCUUCCUCCAUUUUAGUUUCAAGCUUCUAAGUGAAGGUGCAAGUUUUCAUAUGACCUCAAACAAGUAUUUAUAGGAGCAGGGGAUUCUCACUUUCAACCUCUCUCUUGGGAUCUCUGUAUGAAAGUUGCCCUUGGUGCUGCAAAGGGUCUUGCAUUUCUUCAUUCCGAGGCAGAUGUAAUAUAUCGAGACUUUAAGACAUCUAAUAUCCUCCUUGAUAUGAACUAUAAUGCUAAACUAUCUGAUUUAGGGUUGGCCAAGGAUGGGCCAACUGGUUGUAAUACCCAUGUUUCAACAAGGGUCUUGGGUACUGAAGGUUAUGCAGCACCUGAAUAUAUCAGAACAGGUCAUCUUACUGCAAAAAGUGAUGUGUACAGCUUUGGGGUUGUGCUACUUGAAGUGCUAUCUGGCAGGCGAGCUAUAGAUAGAAACAAGCCAUCUGGAGAACAAAAUUUAGCCAGGUGGGCAAGGAGCACUAUCAACAAGCACAAAUUUUCCCAAGUUUUGAAUCCUGCCAUUUUAGGAAAGUACUCCAUAACAAGUGUGAUAAAAGUGGCUCAACUUGCAUCUCAAUGCGUGUCAGAGGAGCCAAAGUCUCGGCCAAAGAUGAAAGAUGUGGUAGAAAUUUUGGAAUUACUUCUAGAAUCCAAUGACAAUGAGGAAUGCAAAGGCUCUAAACAUUGUAAAUCAAGAAAUGGUUCUAAAAAUGGCAGGAGAAAACUCAGAUGAAGCUCAGCCUUCUAAGGAACCAUAUGCUUCUUUCCUAUACAUAUAUAAACAAUUUUUUUUUUCUUAUUUGACUUAGAUUGAGAUUUAAAUUUGAAAUCUCAUGGAGAAAAUGACUCCAUUAUCACUGAACUAAAAUUUAUUCAUAAUGAUAACAAAUUCUUAAUUUGAUUUUGUAGUAAACCAUGCUAUAAUGGAGUAGGGAAUGUAAU
This 1035-nucleotide unclassified non-coding RNA is filed under the name Hevea brasiliensis (rubber tree). The record is from RNAcentral. Lineage: Eukaryota; Viridiplantae; Streptophyta; Magnoliopsida; Malpighiales; Euphorbiaceae.